UAAGCUCCCGGGGCAACCCUGAUCCUUU
RNAcentral lists this non-coding RNA (28 nucleotides) under Rattus norvegicus (Norway rat). The record is from RNAcentral. Lineage: Eukaryota; Metazoa; Chordata; Mammalia; Rodentia; Muridae.